This 253-nucleotide ribosomal RNA is filed under the name uncultured bacterium. Its description in RNAcentral is "partial 16S ribosomal RNA". It matches the Rfam family "Bacterial small subunit ribosomal RNA", at positions 524 to 776 of the family's 1533-position model. The record is from RNAcentral.
UACGAAGGGGGCUAGCGUUGUUCGGAUUUACUGGGCGUAAAGGGCGCGUAGGCGGCCCGUUUAGUCAGGCGUGAAAUGCCCGAGCUCAACUCGGGAAAUGCGCUUGAUACUGGCGGGCUUGAAUCCGGGAGAGGAUGGUGGAACUCCCAGUGUAGAGGUGAAAUUCGUAGAUAUUGGGAAGAACACCCGUGGCGAAGGCGGCCAUCUGGACCGGCAUUGACGCUAAAGCGCGACAGCGUGGGGAGCAAACAGG